GACGAACGCUGGCGGCGUGCUUAACACAUGCAAGUCGAACGGAAAGGCCUGCUUUCCCUUGUGGAUUGCGGGUACUCGAGUGGCGAACGGGUGAGUAACACGUGAGUGAUCUGCCCCCAACUUGGGUAUAAGCCUGGGAAACGGGGUCUAAUUCCCGAUAGGACUGCAGGGUGGUGCCUGUGGUGGAAAACGAGUUUCUAGUGGUUGGGGAUGAGCUCGCGGCCUAUCAGCUUGUUGGUGGGGUAAUGGCCUACCAAGGCGGCGACGGGUAGCCGGCCUGGGAGGGUGGACGGCCACAUUGGGACUGAGAUCCGGCCCAGCCUCCUACGGGAGGCAGCAGUGGGUAAUAUUGCACGAUGGGCGGAAGCCUGAUGCAGCGGCGCCGCGUGGGGGAUGACGGCCUUCGGGUUGUAAACUCCUUUCGAGCGCGAGGACGCCACCUGGUUGGCAGGGUGGUGGCGGUAGUGGUAGAAGAAGCACCGGCUAACUACGUG
This 494-nucleotide ribosomal RNA is filed under the name uncultured bacterium. Its description in RNAcentral is "partial 16S ribosomal RNA". It matches the Rfam family "Bacterial small subunit ribosomal RNA", at positions 28 to 507 of the family's 1533-position model. The record is from RNAcentral.